RNAcentral lists this small RNA (126 nucleotides) under Marmota monax (woodchuck). Lineage: Eukaryota; Metazoa; Chordata; Mammalia; Rodentia; Sciuridae. The record is from RNAcentral.
GCCGGGCACAGUGGGGCAUGCCUGUAAUCCCAGCGGCUCAGGAGGCUGAGGCAGGAGGAUCACAAGUUGAGGCCAGCCUCAGCAACUUAUGGAGGCCCUAAGCAACUCAGGGAGACCCUGUGUCUA